RNAcentral lists this ribosomal RNA (580 nucleotides) under uncultured bacterium. Its description in RNAcentral is "bacterial SSU rRNA". It matches the Rfam family "Bacterial small subunit ribosomal RNA", at positions 338 to 916 of the family's 1533-position model. The record is from RNAcentral.
CCUACGGGAGGCAGCAGUGGGGAAUUUUGGACAUGGGGGCACCUGAUCCAGCCAUGCCGCGUGCGGGAAGAAGGCCUUCGGGUUGUAAACCGCUUUUAGUCGGGAAGAAAAGGCGCGGCCUAAUACGUCGCGUUCUUGACGGUACCGGCGGAAUAAGCACCGGCUAACUACGUGCCAGCAGCCGCGGUAAUACGUAGGGUGCGAGCGUUAAUCGGAAUUACUGGGCGUAAAGCGUGCGCAGGCGGUUCGUUAAGUCUGAUGUGAAAGCCCCGGGCUCAACCUGGGAAUGGCAUUGGAAACUGGCGGGCUUGAGUGUGGCAGAGGGGGGUGGAAUUCCGCGUGUAGCAGUGAAAUGCGUAGAGAUGCGGAGGAACACCGAUGGCGAAGGCAGCCCCCUGGGCUAACACUGACGCUCAGGCACGAAAGCGUGGGGAGCAAACAGGAUUAGAUACCCUGGUAGUCCACGCCCUAAACGAUGAUCACUGGGUGUUCGGGGAGCGAUCUCUGAGUACCGAAGCUAACGCGUGAAGUGAUCCGCCUGGGGAGUACGGUCGCAAGAUAAACUCAAAGGAAUUGACGG